GUACACGCUGUGACUAGCAUAUCAAUAAGCGGAGGAAAAGAAACUAACAAGGAUUCCCCUAGUAACGGCGAGUGAAGCGGGAAGAGCUCAAAUUUGAAAUCUUAAAGGGUUUCCCUUUACGAAUUGUAGUUUAAAGAAGUGUUUUCUGUUGAGGUUUUGGUAAAAGUUCUUUGGAAUAGGACAUCAUAGAGGGUGAGAAUCCCGUAUUUGACCUUUACUUUCAACUUUGUGAUACACUUUCAAAGAGUCGGAUUGUUUGGGAAUGCAGUCCAAAAUGGGUGGUAAAUUUCAUCUAAAGCUAAAUAUUGGCGAGAGACCGAUAGCGAACAAGUACCGUGAGGGAAAGAUGAAAAGAACUUUGAAAAGAGAGUUAAACAGUACGUGAAAUUGUCAAAAGGGAAGCGUUCGACACCAGUGUUGUUUUUCUGAAAAUCAAUUAAAGAACUGUUUAUGCUAAGUUGUUUAGACUUUAUCAGCUAUCUGUUUAGUUUUGAGCUUUUCUUUAAUGCACUUUUCAGUUAACAAGUCAACAUCAAUUUCUUUUGCUGUAAAAAAGCUUGAGGAAGGUGGCUUGAGAUUCGUCUUAAGUGUUUAUAGCCUCUUGCCUAUGCAGUCGGAGAGAUUGAGGUCUGCAGCGUAGAUCCUUCGGGGCUAAAUGCAUUUGUGCUAAGUUAUAACAUUUCAUAGACAACUUGUUGACUAUGAUUUGUCUUGUAGCUUACUCGCUUAUGUUAUUUUACCUACGCUUAGGAUGUUGACGAGACUGUCGAUCUC
This 774-nucleotide ribosomal RNA is filed under the name uncultured Neocallimastigales. RNAcentral describes it as "partial large subunit ribosomal RNA". It matches the Rfam family "Eukaryotic large subunit ribosomal RNA", at positions 22 to 647 of the family's 3401-position model. The record is from RNAcentral. Lineage: Eukaryota; Fungi; Neocallimastigomycota; Neocallimastigomycetes; Neocallimastigales.